Molecule: long non-coding RNA, 182 nt
Organism: Carassius carassius (crucian carp)
Lineage: Eukaryota; Metazoa; Chordata; Actinopteri; Cypriniformes; Cyprinidae
Exons: 3
Source: RefSeq, a predicted model, not a curated record
AGUUUCAACAUCAACCACCACUGAACAAACUACUACAACACCCAUGAAAACCUCGUUAACUGUAAUGUCCACCUCUGAAACUACAACAUACAGUAAAACUGCAGAUCUCCAAACCAAGAUAAACCUGACAACCAGUACAGGAAAGGAAAAAAUAAAAGUUCAGCCACUCUUUCCUGAUGGUA